CCUACGGGAGGCAGCAGUAGGGAAUCUUCCACAAUGGACGAAAGUCUGAUGGAGCAACGCCGCGUGAGUGAAGAAGGGUUUCGGCUCGUAAAGCUCUGUUGGUAGUGAAGAAAGAUAGAGGUAGUAACUGGCCUUCAUUUGACGGGAAUUACUUAGAAAGUCACGGCUAACUACGUGCCAGCAGCCGCGGUAAUACGUAGGGGGCAAGCGUUGUCCGGAUUUAUUGGGCGUAAAGCGAGUGCAGGCGGUUCAAUAAGUCUGAUGGGAAAGCCUUCGGCUCAACCGGAGAAAUGCAUCAGAAACUGUUGAACUUGAGUGCAGGAGAGGAGAGUGGAACUCCAUGUGUAGCGGUGGAAUGCGUAGAUAUAUGGAAGAACACCAGUGGCGAAGGCGGCUCUCUGGUCUGCAACUGACGCUGAGGCUCGAAAGCAUGGGGAGCGAACAGGAUUAGAUACCCCUGUAGUC
Molecule: ribosomal RNA, 465 nt
Filed under: uncultured bacterium
Lineage: Bacteria
Description: partial 16S ribosomal RNA
Rfam family: Bacterial small subunit ribosomal RNA
Source: RNAcentral